UACGGGGGGGGCAAGCGUUGUUCGGAAUUACUGGGCGUAAAGGGCUCGUAGGCGGCCAACUAAGUCAGACGUGAAAUCCCUCGGCUUAACCGGGGAACUGCAUCUGAUACUGGAUGGCUUGAGUUCGGGAGAGGGAUGCGGAAUUCCAGGUGUAGCGGUGAAAUGCGUAGAUAUCUGGAGGAACACCGGUGGCGAAGGCGCCACUCUGGGCCGGUACUGACGCUGAGGAGCGAAGGCGUGGGGAGCGAACGGG
RNAcentral lists this ribosomal RNA (253 nucleotides) under uncultured bacterium. RNAcentral describes it as "partial 16S ribosomal RNA". It matches the Rfam family "Bacterial small subunit ribosomal RNA", at positions 524 to 776 of the family's 1533-position model. The record is from RNAcentral.